GGGCGCAAGCCUGACCGAGCAACGCCGCGUGAGGGAUGGAGGCCUUCGGGUUGUAAACCUCUUUUAUCGGGGAGCAUGCGUGAGUGAGUUUACCCGUUGAAUAAGCACCGGCUAACUACGUGCCAGCAGCCGCGGUAAUACGUAGGUCCCGAGCGUUGUCCGGAUUUAUUGGGCGUAAAGCGAGCGCAGGCGGUUUGAUAAGUCUGAAGUUAAAGGCUGUGGCUCAACCAUAGUUCGCUUUGGAAACUGUCAAACUUGAGUGCAGAAGGGGAGAGUGGAAUUCCAUGUGUAGCGGUGAAAUGCGUAGAUAUAUGGAGGAACACC
RNAcentral lists this ribosomal RNA (324 nucleotides) under uncultured bacterium. Its description in RNAcentral is "bacterial SSU rRNA". It matches the Rfam family "Bacterial small subunit ribosomal RNA", at positions 373 to 710 of the family's 1533-position model. The record is from RNAcentral.